AUACGGAGGGUGCAAGCGUUACUCGGAAUCACUGGGCGUAAAGCGCGCGCAGGCGGCUUGAUAAGUUGGAUGUGAAAGCCUACGGCUCAACCGUAGAACUGCAUCCAAAACUGUCAAGCUAGAGUCUGGGAGGGGAAGAUGGAAUUAGUUGUGUAGGGGUAAAAUCCGUAGAGAUAACUAGGAAUACCAAAAGCGAAGGCGAUCUUCUGGAACAGUACUGACGCUGAGGCGCGAAAGCGUGGGGAGUAAACAGGAUUAGAAACCCGGGUAGUCC
RNAcentral lists this ribosomal RNA (274 nucleotides) under uncultured bacterium. RNAcentral's name for it is "partial 16S ribosomal RNA". It matches the Rfam family "Bacterial small subunit ribosomal RNA", at positions 523 to 796 of the family's 1533-position model. The record is from RNAcentral.